UCUUCCGUAGUAUAGUGGUCAGUAUGUGAGCUUGUCACCUGAAGCUGACAUCGCUCGAGACCCGGGUUCAAUUCCCGGCGGGAGAG
Molecule: non-coding RNA, 86 nt
Organism: Canariomyces notabilis
Lineage: Eukaryota; Fungi; Ascomycota; Sordariomycetes; Sordariales; Chaetomiaceae
Source: the annotation of a RefSeq genome assembly